UCUUCUUUACUCCUUCAACUGCCCAAACAAAAUGCAAUAUUAAUUCAGUGUACCAACUCGGCGAUUCUCUCGCCGACGCCGGUAAUGUCAUCCGUACACCCGGCGCCUCCAUCAUUUUCCGUGCGGACCGCUCUCCUUACGGCUCUACUUUCUUCAACAGACCCACUGGCCGUUUCUCAAACGGCCGUGUCAUUAUCGACUUUAUUACCCAAUCUUUCAAACUCCCUUUCCUCAAUGCUUACUUGGACAGGGGUGCUGCUUUCACACAAGGCGUUAAUUUCGCUGUCGCUGGUGGUACGGCCCUCAACACUUCCUUCUGGACUGCCCGAAACAUUCGGUUGCCCACUUGGAACACCCCGCUCGCAAACCAAUUAGGUUGGUUCAAAACUCAUCUUCAGUCCACCUGUGGCUCCAGAUGUGCAGACUCUCUCAAAAACUCUCUGAUAGUAAUGGGGGAAUGGGGUGGAAACGAUUACUACAAUGGGUUUUUCCAGAACAAGCAGAUCUCAGAAGUUAGGACAUACGUUCCUAACGUUGUCGCUGGGAUUAUGAGAGGCAUCAAAGAUGUGAUUCAGCUCGGAGCCACGCGCUUUUUGGUUCCAGGAAUUUACCCACUCGGGUGCUUGCCGCUUUAUCUCACAUCAUUUCCUGACAAUAAUACAGGCGCGUACGAUCAAAUGGGUUGCUUGAGGAACUACAACGAGUUCGCUUCGUAUCAUAAUAGAUAC
This 728-nucleotide long non-coding RNA is filed under the name Nicotiana tabacum (common tobacco). RNAcentral describes it as "long non-coding RNA (NTAB_LNC006209)". Lineage: Eukaryota; Viridiplantae; Streptophyta; Magnoliopsida; Solanales; Solanaceae. The record is from RNAcentral.